Molecule: long non-coding RNA, 1397 nt
Filed under: Sus scrofa (pig)
Lineage: Eukaryota; Metazoa; Chordata; Mammalia; Artiodactyla; Suidae
Description: lncRNA (ENSSSCG00040021851.1)
Source: RNAcentral
UUUUCUGUUUUAUUUUAAAUGCAUUUUUUAAAAUUAAAGUAUAGUUGAUUUACAAUGUUGUGUCAAUUUCUGUUGUAUAGCAAAUUGACCCAGUCAUCCAUAUAUACAUUGUUCACCUUAUAUUAUUUUCCAUCAUGUUCUCUUCUAAGAGAUUGGAUAUAGUUUCUUGUACUAUACAGUAGGACCUCAUUGUUUAUCCAUUCUAAUCCCUUUGAUCUUCUUUUGAUUCUUUCAUGUAAGUUUUAUUUAUUUAUUUAUUUAUUGCUAUUUCUUUGGGCCGCUCCCACAGCAUAUGGAGGUGCAGCCAAUUUAUUAUUAAAUCUGUUUCUUGUUUUUGGUGUUGUAAAUGAAUAGGUCUGAUCUAUAAAAUUUUUCUAGCUCGUUACCACAAGGUCUUUUGAUUUUGCAUGUUAAUUUUAUAUUCUACUAACUAAAUUAUUUUAUAAUAUUCUGCUGUUACUAAAUCAUUUUACUGUUUAUAUUGGUGUUUAUAUUUGUUAAUAUUAUUUUUUGUGGCUCUUUGGGUAAAGAUUCAUAUCUUCAAAUUAGCAUACUGCUACUUCUUUCAACACUUUUGCCUUGAAUUAGUUUAUUUCCUCUGGUUGUAAUGGCUAAUACUUCCAACAUAAUGUGAAGUAAUAGUGAAGAUAGCUGGAACAUUCCUGUACUUUUUUUGUCUUUAAUCAGAAAGCAUCCAAUGUAUCCUCAUUAAGUAAUAUGCUGACUUUUAGACUAAACUAUAUAUAUACAGCAUAACAUGUUAUCAAGAACAUCCAAUGAUUUCUUUUUAUAUUAUGCAUUGUUAUCACGAAACAAUAAAAUAUCAGUAUCUCACACUCAAAUGUAAACAAAAAGAUCACUAGAUAAUUUGAAGAAUGACUUUGAAAGUAAAAGGGUUCUCCAAAAUAAAACAAAUAAUAAACUAACAAAAAAAGCAGGACCACAGAAAAUAUGAACAAUAUACAAAGCAGAAGAAAACUGUGGGAGAACUACAUUGAAAAUCUAGAGAAACUAAGACAGAAAUCACUUCAUUUUCUGAAACAAUAUCGUGAGGAUAUUUUAAAAAUGAACAAAAAAAGGAAGAAUAGAAUAAAAGUAUUUUAUGACAUACUAUCUUAAAAAAAUUAACUCUCUUGAUCCCUUUCUUGGGACGCUACCAGAGGUUAUACUCUACUAAAAAACAGAGAGUAAACAAAGAAAGAUGAUGAACAGGAUCUAUGGCACUAGGGGUCAAACACAGAAGAAUAGAGAGAGGUCUUUGGAGAGUAGCUGCAUAUCAGGGUCAAGAAGAAGCAUUCUAGAAGGUGGUAUGUAUGAAAACAGAUUGAAAUUCUCUCUUUUUUUUUUUUUUUUUUUUUUUUGUCUCUUUAGGACUGCAUCCACAGCAUAUGGAGGUU